RNAcentral lists this ribosomal RNA (554 nucleotides) under uncultured bacterium. RNAcentral's name for it is "bacterial SSU rRNA". It matches the Rfam family "Bacterial small subunit ribosomal RNA", at positions 761 to 1313 of the family's 1533-position model. The record is from RNAcentral.
UAGGGGAGAGAACGGGAUUAGAAACCCCCCGGUAUUCCCUAGCCCGUAAACGAUGUUCAACUAGGUGUAGGAGGUAUUGACCCCCCUCCCUGUGCUGCAGCCAAACGCGUUAAGUUGACCCGCCUGGGGACUACGGCCGCAAGGCUAAAACUCAAAGGAAUUGACGGGGACCCGCACAAGCCAGCGGAGCGUGUGGUUUAAUUCGAGGCUACGCGAAGAACCUUACCAGGGUUUGACAUGGCGGUAGUAGGGAUCCGAAAGGUGACCGACCCUUCGGGGAGCCGUCACAGGUGCUGCAUGGCUGUCGUCAGCUCGUGCCGUGAGGUGUUAGGUUAAGUCCCUGUAACGAGCGCAACCCACGUCGUUAGUUAUAUGUGUCUAGCGAGACUGCCGGUGAUAAGCCGGAGGAAGGUGUGGAUGACGUCAAGUCCAGCAUGGCCUUUAUAUCCUGGGCUACACACACGCUACAAUGGCCGGUAACAGUGGGCAGCGAAACCGCGAGGUGAAGCCAAUCCUCCAAAGCCGGUCUCAGUUCGGAUUGUAGGCUGCAACUC